This 486-nucleotide ribosomal RNA is filed under the name uncultured bacterium. Its description in RNAcentral is "partial 16S ribosomal RNA". It matches the Rfam family "Bacterial small subunit ribosomal RNA", at positions 28 to 523 of the family's 1533-position model. The record is from RNAcentral.
GAUGAACGCUGGCGGCGUGCUUAACACAUGCAAGUCGAACGGAAAGGCCCCAGCUUGCUGGGGUACUCGAGUGGCGAACGGGUGAGUAACACGUGGGUGAUCUGCCCUGCACUUUGGGAUAAGCUUGGGAAACUGGGUCUAAUACCGAAUAUGACCACUUCUUGGAUGUUGUGGUGGAAAGCUUUUGCGGUGUGGGAUGAGCCUGCGGCCUAUCAGCUUGUUGGUGGGGUAAUGGCCUACCAAGGCGGCGACGGGUAUCCGGCCUGAGAGGGUGUACGGACACAGUGGGACUGAGAGACGGCCCAGACUCCUACGGGAGGCAGCAGUGGGGAAUAUUGCACAAUGGGCGCAAGCCUGAUGCAGCGACGCCGCGUGGGGGAUGAAGGCCUUCGGGUUGUAAACUCCUUUCGCUAUCGACGAAGCCACUUGUGGUGACGGUAGGUAGAUAAGAAGCACCGGCUAACUACGUGCCAGCCGCCGCAGUAA